AUGUUCGCUUCAGCAGCAUAUAUACUCAAAUUGGAAUAAUACAGAGAAGAUUAGAAUGGCCCCUGCCCAAGGAUUACAUGCAAAUUCGUGAAGCGUUCCAUAUUUUU
Small nuclear RNA from Dipodomys ordii (Ord's kangaroo rat), 107 nucleotides. NCBI's taxonomy places the organism in Eukaryota, Metazoa, Chordata, Mammalia, Rodentia, Heteromyidae. The record is from Ensembl.